GACGAACGCUGGCGGCGUGCUUAACACAUGCAAGUCGAACGGAAAGGCCCUGCUUUUGUGGGGUGCUCGAGUGGCGAACGGGUGAGUAACACGUGAGUAACCUGCCCUUGACUUUGGGAUAACUUCAGGAAACUGGGGCUAAUACCGGAUAGGAGCUCCUGCUGCAUGGUGGGGGUUGGAAAGUUUCGGCGGUUGGGGAUGGACUCGCGGCUUAUCAGCUUGUUGGUGGGGUAGUGGCUUACCAAGGCUUUGACGGGUAGCCGGCCUGAGAGGGUGACCGGCCACAUUGGGACUGAGAUACGGCCCAGACUCCUACGGGAGGCAGCAGUGGGGAAUAUUGCACAAUGGGCGGAAGCCUGAUGCAGCAACGCCGCGUGCGGGAUGACGGCCUUCGGGUUGUAAACCGCUUUCGCCUGUGACGAAGCGUGAGUGACGGUAAUGGGUAAAGAAGCACCGGCUAACUACGUGCCAGCAGCCGCGGUGAUACGUAGGGUGCGAGCGUUGUCCGGAUUUAUUGGGCGUAAAGGGCUCGUAGGUGGUUGAUCGCGUCGGAAGUGUAAUCUUGGGGCUUAACCCUGAGCGUGCUUUCGAUACGGGUUGACUUGAGGAAGGUAGGGGAGAAUGGAAUUCCUGGUGGAGCGGUGGAAUGCGCAGAUAUCAGGAGGAACGCCAGUGGCGAAGGCGGUUCUCUGGGCCUUUCCUGACGCUGAGGAGCGAAAGCGUGGGGAGCGAACAGGCUUAGAUACCCUGGUAGUCCACGCUGUAAACGGUGGGUACUAGGUGUGGGGUCCAUUCCACGGGUUCCGUGCCGUAGCUAACGCUUUAAGUACCCCGCCUGGGGAGUACGGCCGCAAGGCUAAAACUCAAAGGAAUUGACGGGGCCCCGCACAAGCGGCGGAGCAUGCGGAUUAAUUCGAUGCAACGCGUAGAACCUUACCUGGGUUUGACAUGGAUCGGGAGUGCUCAGAGAUGGGUGUGCCUCUUUUGGGGUCGGUUCACAGGUGGUGCAUGGCUGUCGUCAGCUCGUGUCGUGAGAUGUUGGGUUAAGUCCCGCAACGAGCGCAACCCUUGUUCACUGUUGCCAGCACGUUAUGGUGGGGACUCAGUGGAGACCGCCGAGGUCAACUCGGAGGAAGGUGGGGAUGACGUCAAGUCAUCAUGCCCCUUAUGUCCAGGGCUUCACGCAUGCUACAAUGGCUGGUACAGAGAGUGGCGAGCCUGUGAGGGUGAGCGAAUCUCGGAAAGCCGGUCUCAGUUCGGAUUGGGGUCUGCAACUCGACCUCAUGAAGUCGGAGUCGCUAGUAAUCGCAGAUCAGCAACGCUGCGGUGAAUACGUUCCCGGG
Molecule: ribosomal RNA, 1343 nt
Filed under: uncultured bacterium
Lineage: Bacteria
Description: 16S ribosomal RNA
Rfam family: Bacterial small subunit ribosomal RNA
Source: RNAcentral